UGUACUGGUGGAUAAACGACGAAGGCCCCUAGCUGAACUGGUGUUCACUUCAAAGUCACUGUAAAUUAAUUGACAUUUAUUAGUGAACUCUGUUCAACAAUUUUAUGACAAUUAUAAAUGAAAGUCCCGGACCACUUUCGUCACUAAAGUCUUACCAUGGCAAAAUGCACAGCUACAGUUCAAGAAACCAUGGAGACACUAAAAGAAAAAGUCAAGGCCACGAUCAGACCUCUGCCGCAGCUCUUCCAGGAAGAAGUAAACAGUAU
Molecule: long non-coding RNA, 266 nt
Organism: Haliotis rubra (blacklip abalone)
Lineage: Eukaryota; Metazoa; Mollusca; Gastropoda; Lepetellida; Haliotidae
Exons: 4
Source: RefSeq, a predicted model, not a curated record